GACGAACGCUGGCGGCGUGCUUAACACAUGCAAGUCGAACGGAAAGGCCCUGCUUGCAGGGUACUCGAGUGGCGAACGGGUGAGUAACACGUGGGUGAUCUGCCCUGCACUUCGGGAUAAGCUUGGGAAACUGGGUCUAAUACCGGAUAGGAGCCAUCUUUAGUGUGGUGGUUGGAAAGUUUUUUCGGUGUAGGAUGAGCUCGCGGCCUAUCAGCUUGUUGGUGGGGUAAUGGCCUACCAAGGCGGCGACGGGUAGUCGGCCUGAGAGGGUGUACGGCCACAUUGGGACUGAGAUACGGCCCAGACUCCUACGGGAGGCAGCAGUGGGGAAUAUUGCACAAUGGGCGCAAGCCUGAUGCAGCGACGCCGCGUGGGGGAUGAAGGCCUUCGGGUUGUAAACUCCUUUCGCUAGGGACGAAGCUUUUUUGUGACGGUACCUAGAGAAGAAGCACCGGCUAACUACGUG
Molecule: ribosomal RNA, 466 nt
Filed under: uncultured bacterium
Lineage: Bacteria
Description: partial 16S ribosomal RNA
Rfam family: Bacterial small subunit ribosomal RNA
Source: RNAcentral